GUGGGGAAUAUUGGACAAUGGGCGAAAGCCUGAUCCAGCCAUGCCGCGUGUGUGAAGAAGGUCUUCGGAUUGUAAAGCACUUUAAGUUGGGAGGAAGGGCAGUAAGUUAAUACCUUGCUGUUUUGACGUUACCGACAGAAUAAGCACCGGCUAACUUCGUGCCAGCAGCCGCGGUAAUACGAAGGGUGCAAGCGUUAAUCGGAAUUACUGGGCGUAAAGCGCGCGUAGGUGGUUUUGUAAGUUGGAGGUGAAUCCCCGGGCUCAACCUGGGAACUGCCUCCAAAACUGCAUGACUAGAGUACGGUAGAGGGUAGUGGAAUUUCCUGUGUAGCGGUGAAAUGCGUAGAUAUAGGAAGGAACACCAGUGGCGAAGGCGACUACCUGGACUGAUACUGACACUGAGGUGCGAAAGCGUGGGGAGCAAACAGGAUUAGAUACCCCGGUAGUCC
This 449-nucleotide ribosomal RNA is filed under the name uncultured bacterium. Its description in RNAcentral is "partial 16S ribosomal RNA". It matches the Rfam family "Bacterial small subunit ribosomal RNA", at positions 354 to 796 of the family's 1533-position model. The record is from RNAcentral.